GACGAACGCUGGCGGCGUGCCUAAUACAUGCAAGUAGAACGCUGAAGAGAGGAGCUUGCUCUUCUUGGAUGAGUUGCGAACGGGUGAGUAACGCGUAGGUAACCUGCCUUGUAGCGGGGGAUAACUAUUGGAAACGAUAGCUAAUACCGCAUAACAAUGGAUGACACAUGUCAUUUAUUUGAAAGGGGCAAUUGCUCCACUACAAGAUGGACCUGCGUUGUAUUAGCUAGUAGGUGAGGUAAUGGCUCACCUAGGCGACGAUACAUAGCCGACCUGAGAGGGUGAUCGGCCAAACUGGGAAUGAGACAAGGCCCAGACUCCUACGGGAGGCAGCAGUAGGGAAUCUUCGGGAAUGGGGGCAACCCUGACCGAGCAACGCCGCGUGAGUGAAGAAGGUUUUCGGAUCGUAAAGCUCUGUUGUAAGUCAAGAACGGGUGUGAGAGUGGAAAGUUCACACUGUGACGGUAGCUUACCAGAAAGGGACGGCUAACUACGUG
This 497-nucleotide ribosomal RNA is filed under the name uncultured bacterium. RNAcentral's name for it is "partial 16S ribosomal RNA". It matches the Rfam family "Bacterial small subunit ribosomal RNA", at positions 28 to 507 of the family's 1533-position model. The record is from RNAcentral.